UACGAAGGGGGCUAGCGUUGUUCGGAAUAACUGGGCGUAAAGCGUACGUAGGCGGAUUUUUAAGUUAGAGGUGAAAGCCCGGAGCUCAACUCCAGAACUGCCUUUGAUACUGUUUGUCUUGAGUCCGGGAGAGGUGAGUGGAACUGCUAGUGUAGAGGUGAAAUUCGUAGAUAUUAGCAAGAACACCAGUGGCGAAGGCGGCUCACUGGCCCGGUACUGACGCUGAGGUACGAAAGCGUGGGGAGCAAACAGG
RNAcentral lists this ribosomal RNA (253 nucleotides) under uncultured bacterium. Its description in RNAcentral is "partial 16S ribosomal RNA". It matches the Rfam family "Bacterial small subunit ribosomal RNA", at positions 524 to 776 of the family's 1533-position model. The record is from RNAcentral.